RNAcentral lists this transfer-messenger RNA (351 nucleotides) under bacterium. It matches the Rfam family "transfer-messenger RNA". From Rfam's summary of the family: Bacterial tmRNA, also known as 10Sa RNA or SsrA, is named for its dual tRNA and mRNA-like properties. Its role is to liberate the mRNA from a stalled ribosome. The record is from RNAcentral.
GGGGGCGAACGGGUUCGACAGGGCCGGUUCGAUUCUCGAUCGCGAGCCGUGGAUUCUCGUUGGCCACGUAAAAAACGGGAAAAAAAGUAGCUGCGAACAACAACUACGCCUACGCUGCCUAAGAGCAGUGCAUCGCCCGGUCUUGAGUUGGUAAAGAUCGGUCACGGUGUAAAAAAAUCCAACUAGCGACGGAAGCCCUCGUCUGAGGCGACUUAGCGAAAUUAACCAGACUGGAUAGUGUUUAGGGCGGCCUCGGCCUAGGACACGUCGAGAAAGAGACAGAGGAGACGCUCGUGGUGGUCGUGGGUACGACGAUCUUGGAAGGGAGUUCAAUUCUCCCCGCCUCCAUCC